This 127-nucleotide ribosomal RNA is filed under the name uncultured bacterium. RNAcentral describes it as "partial 16S ribosomal RNA". The record is from RNAcentral.
AGCCGGAGCUUCUUCUGCGGGUACUGUCAUUAUCAUCCCCGCUGAAAGAGUUUUACAACCCUAAGGCCUUCAUCACUCGCGCGGCAUCGCUGGAUCAGGGUUGCCCCCCAUUGUCCAAUAUUCCCCC